CCCUUAGACGUUCUGGGCCGCACGCGCGCUACACUGACGAAGACAACGAGCUUUCCUUUACCGAAAGGUACGGGUAAUCUUUUGAAACUUCGUCGUGCUGGGGAUAGAUCCUUGCAAUUUUUGAUCUUAAACGAGGAAUUCCUAGUAAGCGCAAGUCAUCAACUUGCGUUGAUUACGUCCCUGCCCUUUGUACACACCGCCCGUCGCUACUACCGAUUGAAUGGUUUAGUGAGGCCUUCGGAUCCGCGACUCGUUUUGUGGAGAAGUUGGACAAACUCAGUCAUUUAGAGGAAGUAAAAGUCGUAACA
RNAcentral lists this ribosomal RNA (308 nucleotides) under uncultured eukaryote. RNAcentral describes it as "partial 18S ribosomal RNA". It matches the Rfam family "Eukaryotic small subunit ribosomal RNA", at positions 1470 to 1796 of the family's 1831-position model. The record is from RNAcentral.